GUCGGCAGCCAUAUCACCCUGUAGCCCAAGACUGGUUGCCCACUGAAGCUAAGCAGCGUUGAGCCUGGUUUGUACCUGGAUGGGAGACCUCCUGGGAAAUCUAGGUUGCUGCUGGAA
Sinocyclocheilus grahami is the source of this 117-nucleotide ribosomal RNA. NCBI's taxonomy places the organism in Eukaryota, Metazoa, Chordata, Actinopteri, Cypriniformes, Cyprinidae. The record is from Ensembl.